This 449-nucleotide ribosomal RNA is filed under the name uncultured organism. RNAcentral describes it as "partial 16S ribosomal RNA". It matches the Rfam family "Bacterial small subunit ribosomal RNA", at positions 332 to 797 of the family's 1533-position model. The record is from RNAcentral.
UACACUCCUACGGGAGGCAGCAGUGGGGAAUAUUGGACAAUGGGCGCAAGCCUGAUCCAGCCAUGCCGCGUGAGUGAUGAAGGCCCUAGGGUUGUAAAGCUCUUUCACCGGAGAAGAUAAUGACGGUAUCCGGAGAAGAAGCCCCGGCUAACUUCGUGCCAGCAGCCGCGGUAAUACGAAGGGGGCUAGCGUUGUUCGGAAUUACUGGGCGUAAAGCGCACGUAGGCGGAUCGAUCAGUCAGGGGUGAAAUCCCAGGGCUCAACCCUGGAACUGCCUUUGAUACUGUCGAUCUGGAGUAUGGAAGAGGUGAGUGGAAUUCCGAGUGUAGAGGUGAAAUUCGUAGAUAUUCGGAGGAACACCAGUGGCGAAGGCGGCUCACUGGUCCAUUACUGACGCUGAGGUGCGAAAGCGUGGGGAGCAAACAGGAUUAGAAACCCCAGUAGUCCCA